CAACCGCUGCUCUGGGACGCAGCAGCCAUUCAGAGGCCUGAGUUAUGAUGCAAGUGUCAGGAAUAAGCUAGGCUCAAGGCACGCUAGACCGAAAGCCGUAAUUCGACAGCAAAAUUGGGCCAAGCCAGUCGAAGCCACAGACUUCCAAGGUACCGGAAGAUGACGAGGCUGGUGGUGAGAGGCAUCUGCCGCGCGACUAGCCGCAGAACCCUGGCUUCGGGAGUUGUUCCCUGAAGAAUUGGAGGUUGUAAUUUAGUCCGCCUUUGGGGGUGAACGUAUUCUUACGGUUCGGAAAAUUUUCAAAUACGCACGCACAAAAAAAGAAAGCAACGUCACGCCAUGAACCAACGCGCAGAUUUUGACGGAGUGCCGAUUGGUAACUUUUUUUUCAAUCGGCGAAGUGCGACCCCGAGUGUCACCGCUACAAACUUUUGACAUGGUGGACGCUCCUGGGGGUGCACCUGGCAUAGGAGACGUCCUCGAUUUCCUUGGAGGGUAAUACAAUCACGUGAUAACAGCCUGGAGGUUCAUCAUGAGACAGCCCCUGCAAAGUCCCAGGGUAUCUCGAAAUUGGUUGCUUGAUUCGAGCGGCCCGCUUGAGGGGCUAUCGUGAACAGUUUUUGACAUUGCCUGCAUGGCUAAAAGAAAAAGCACGGAAAAUGCAGCGAUCAUGGAUUAAGGAUGACGGCAGCUUGUAUUGAUCGCCCUGUCUUCAAUAUGUUUAGAGUGUUCGUUUCGUCUGGUGUCCUUUGGUAUUGGAAGGAAAGGCCUUAUUUGUAGGGAAACAAACGACAAGAGUGUUGGCAACUUGAUCAUUGGUUAUUUAUUACAUUCGCUUGGCCAUGGGGCUGUACUAAGAUGUGAUAAACCAAAUGUUCAACGAGGGCUUGUGGACAAAAUGAAAGAAUCCCUCCUGCUUUCAAGCCGAUUUAAUCAUCCAAAACUUCACACUUGCUCUUACCUCAUGAAGCACGGUACAAAGAUGAAUGCUAGGAAUCUUGGCAGCUCCUAAUGCCGCCCCUUGCUGCUUACUCGAUUCGGAGCCUGACUUUGAUGG
This 1057-nucleotide small RNA is filed under the name Histoplasma capsulatum var. duboisii H88. RNAcentral describes it as "Histoplasma capsulatum H88 hypothetical RNA". Lineage: Eukaryota; Fungi; Ascomycota; Eurotiomycetes; Onygenales; Ajellomycetaceae. The record is from RNAcentral.